CCUACGGGUGGCAGCAGUCGAGAAUCAUUCACAAUGGGCGCAACCCUGAUGCAGCGACGCCGCGUGGGGGAAUGAAGCUCUUCGGAUUGUAAACCCCUGUCAUGUGGGAGCAAAUUAAAAAGAUAGUACCACAAGAGGAAGAGAUGGCUAACUCGGUGCGAGCAGCAGCGGUAAUACAGAGGUCGCAAGCGUUGGGCGGAUUCACUGGGCGUAAAGGGUACGUAGGCGGUUUGGUAAGGCGGGUGUGAAAGGCGCGGGCUCAACCCGCGGACUGCACGUGAUACUGGGAGCCUUGAGUAUAGUAGAGGGAGCCGGAAUUCUCGGUGUAGCAGUGAAAUGCGUAGAUAUCGAGAGGAACACUCGUGGCGAAGGCGGGUUCCUGGACAUUAACUGACGCUGAGGCACGAAAGCCAGGGGAGCGAAAGGGAUUAGAUACCCCUGUAGUC
Molecule: ribosomal RNA, 446 nt
Filed under: uncultured bacterium
Lineage: Bacteria
Description: partial 16S ribosomal RNA
Rfam family: Bacterial small subunit ribosomal RNA
Source: RNAcentral